Molecule: long non-coding RNA, 771 nt
Organism: Mustela lutreola (European mink)
Lineage: Eukaryota; Metazoa; Chordata; Mammalia; Carnivora; Mustelidae
Exons: 2
Source: RefSeq, a predicted model, not a curated record
UAGUCCGAGCGGUUUCAUCAUCUUAGAUCCACAUACUGCGUGCAGAUUCUGUCUGCUUUUAGGAUAUACAAAAAUACCUAAUAAAUAAGGAAAAGAUCCUCAAUCUGUGCUUUCUGAACAGGAUUUUAGCCUGCAGGCAAACCAGAAGCUGAGCACCCCAUCUACUCCUUACCAGGCUUGUUACUAGAGUUUCAAAGCCCACUCAGACGCAAGUUCAAUACCUUCAGUUCCUGUACAAAUGGUGUAGGAGAAGAAACUGGCGUGUUCCUACUCAUUCUACACAAAGCUAAAUCUUUGGUUUCCAAAUUAGUUUGGGCAUCCUCUGGCUAAAUGGAGGGGAAAAAAAAAAAAAAGGCAAACCCAUUCAGAGAAAAGCUGUCAGGAAGUAGCCGGGUUCAGGCACCGCGGACAACGGAUAUUGAGGAAAGCACACGUGGACAUGCACACAAAGAACUGACAAAGACUUUGAGUAUAUGAUUGCUAAGUUUAAUUCAACGGUUAUACCCAAUCCUGCCUUGUAAAAAGAACAAAAUUCCCCUAUCAAAACUAUAUUGUGAUGUGAGUACAGGCUUGUUUUUGAUAUAGCUCUAGAAAAAAGUUGGCACCAAAUGCACAUUAAAAAAGUUUUAAGGCUUAAUAAAAAUACAGGCUAAUAAUUUCAAAAUGCAGCUUAGAGGUUGAGAACAGAAUGCUAGGUUAAUAAAUUUCCAAACACAGGCAGUACCCGAUGUAUAGAGCAUUUUCCAAAUUAUUAAUGGCCACUUCCAUCAG